CCUCUCUCAGGAUCACACCUGGAGAGUUUCCAGUAUUCUACCAGUCUCGGCUACGGAAGGCAGAGUCAAGCAGAGGCCCACCCAUUCCAUUUCUAGCUUGGGCAGUGGCUAUCGAGUGGAAGGAAAUCUGUUACACAU
This is a non-coding RNA of Ornithorhynchus anatinus (platypus), 138 nucleotides long. The record is from Rfam. Lineage: Eukaryota; Metazoa; Chordata; Mammalia; Monotremata; Ornithorhynchidae.